This 286-nucleotide long non-coding RNA is filed under the name Lathyrus oleraceus (garden pea). RNAcentral's name for it is "Pisum sativum (pea) long non-coding RNA (PSAT_LNC000459)". The record is from RNAcentral. Lineage: Eukaryota; Viridiplantae; Streptophyta; Magnoliopsida; Fabales; Fabaceae.
UUUUUGAAACAUCAGUAUCGUUUUAGCACCAUAGACUUCAUGAAUAUAGGAAUCACUCCCGAAACCCCAUAUACCAUGACCGUAAUUAUCAUUUCAGUAUAGUCCUCAGUAGUUUAUUCUACCAGUCAGCUCCGGCCUAAGCAUCCUCUACGUAGGGGACCGAUGAACAUAAGUGAAUGAUCCAGUGCAAUAAAAUAAAGAAAAAGGCAAACUCCGGGAUAGGUGACCCUCACAAGGUCAUUUAAACCAAAAAGUUAUAAAAAUUUGCUGCAAAAGAAAAAGAAAA